This 720-nucleotide long non-coding RNA is filed under the name Homo sapiens (human). RNAcentral's name for it is "HSALNT0277786". Lineage: Eukaryota; Metazoa; Chordata; Mammalia; Primates; Hominidae. The record is from RNAcentral.
GGAGCCUGGGCGGAGGAAUAGAACCUUCUGUCGUUCAGCUGAGCUUUAUCACCAGUUUCCUGUUGCUCCAUAGCAGCUUCACUGGCGAUGGGGCAGGGCCUGGCGGAACUUGGGGCACAGAUGAGGGAGGCAGUUCCCAGACACCCAGGGGAUCAACUGGAGCCCAGACGUGGACCCCGGGAGUGACCACCCCAGACCAGCCUCCCAGCGUACCAGGCUCUCUGAGACAAGAAGCUGUGUUCCCAAGUCACUGGGCCACCCCACCCAGAGCACCCUGAGUUAUACAGACUCGGCAGCCAGCCUCGGCCUCGCCUCUAUUUCUGGUUCUGUGGGCUCGCCCCGGGCGCUGAGCACCUCCAGGGCCUCCAGGUUGCCGGGUUCCUCUGCAACAACAGGCAGGGGCUCAGAGUCCCCUUCAGCCUCAGCGUCCUCAGUGUCACUGGCUCCGCCCUCAGUGCCUGGGCCUGACGGGGCAGCUUUAGCACAACGCAGGCAGCAGUUGGUGGCGACAGCCAUGAAGACCCCAGCCAGGGCCACCUCAGAGCCGGCCAGGUAGAAGAUGAUCUCAUAGUUCUUCAACACAUCCACCAGGCGGCCUGGGGAGGAGGAGGAAGAGGAGGGAGAGAUGUAAAACCUCAUGUGGAUUCUGCCAUUUGAAACCUUAAAAAUGUCACUUGCUGUCCCUGGACCUCAAUUGCUUAAGUGAUAUGUGGCUUCUGG